AUUGAAACACCGGUCCUCGUGCGAUCACCGAAGUUAAGCAACGUUACGUCUGGUCGAGUACCUGCAAAGGUGACCGCUUAAGAAUACCAGGUAUUGUAU
Non-coding RNA from Acanthosepion pharaonis, 99 nucleotides. The record is from the annotation of a GenBank genome assembly. NCBI's taxonomy places the organism in Eukaryota, Metazoa, Mollusca, Cephalopoda, Sepiida, Sepiidae.